UCCUCUCUCCCCCUUUCUCUUCGUCUCUUCCCCUUCGAUCUCCCCUCUCUGCCCCGACUCCCCUCUUCCUCUUCCUCAAGCCGAUCGUCGUCAGUGCAGUCCACCUCGGCCGGUGAUGCCCUCAUGACCCCGAAGCUGUAGUGUUGCCUUCCUUCUUCCAUGCGAUACCGACCGUCGGCCUCUCUCCCGAUCCCGCCGACGGUGGUGCCUCGCUCGAUCAUCGCCGUCUCCGAGAGGGUGGAAUCGAUGAAGGGAGUUAGGGCAACCUCUCCCUCUUGUGAUCUCCUCUUCUUCCCCCGACACCCUGUUCUUGCCUUCACAUCGCCUUCCACCCGAUCACCGGUGAUGCCGCCUUAUCGCCGAGAGAUCUGUGCUGCCGAUCCCUCUUCAUCCCGGUGCCGCUAGCUUCUUCUCAUCGACUUUGGAGUCGCCCGAUUGGCUGAUUGCUCGACGAUUGGUCGAUUGCUCGACACUCUGCCCUAGUUUUGGCUGCCCUCUUCGCAUCCCCGCAACGAAGCCAUCUUGCGCCGCUAGCUUCCGUGGUCAUGCUUUGCUGAUUCCAUCAGCCACGAUCUUCUCCUUCUUGAGCCUAGUUGAUCUACCGACAACCACCACCGAUCGUCCACAGCAGCGAUCAAUGUUGUGGCUACUACAGCCAAUUGUCGAGGAUACUCAACCGGGUGACCCCUGGCCGCUGUGCAACUGCUACAGACCUUUGGGUGGCAUCACGUUAUCAAAGAGGAAGAAUUAGCGACUUCUCCUUGUUUCGCUCACUAUUUCCGGCUUCAACCUCUUCCAACAGCGGGUCAAGUGGUUGUGCUACGGAUUUAGGUAGAAGAUUAAGCAAUUGCUUAGAGGCAUCUUGUCUGCCGGUCCCUCGUCACAUCAGAAGAUGAUUUUACUUCGCUUUUGCUUUCUUUUAUAUAUUCUUUAAUAUUUUAGCAUUGUAUUGGUGUUUAGCCAUGUGAGUAUUUUCUUAAGUUUGGUGUUGUAUUUAUGUUUAAGCCGUGCCGACACACAUUAUGUUGUUUUGGUUUGUAUGGGCUUUUCGUUGUAUUUUUAGUACAACCGCGUGAGUUGUUUAAUAUAUAUAUAACUGCAUGGUUGUGUA
Molecule: long non-coding RNA, 1111 nt
Organism: Zingiber officinale
Lineage: Eukaryota; Viridiplantae; Streptophyta; Magnoliopsida; Zingiberales; Zingiberaceae
Exons: 3
Source: RefSeq, a predicted model, not a curated record